UACAGAGGUGGCAAGCGUUGUUCGGAAUUACUGGGCGUAAAGGGCGCGUAGGCGGUCCGAUAAGUCCCGUGUGAAAGCCCCCGGCUCAACUGGGGAACUGCACGGGAAACUGACGGACUUGAGUUCGGGAGAGGGAAGCGGAAUUCCGGGUGUAGCGGUGAAAUGCGUAGAUAUCAGGAGGAACACCGAUGGCGAAGGCAGGUCACUGGGCCGCAACUGACGCUGAGGAGCGAAAGCAUGGGGAGCGAACAGG
RNAcentral lists this ribosomal RNA (253 nucleotides) under uncultured bacterium. RNAcentral's name for it is "partial 16S ribosomal RNA". It matches the Rfam family "Bacterial small subunit ribosomal RNA", at positions 524 to 776 of the family's 1533-position model. The record is from RNAcentral.